ACAUCAUCUACUAAAUUGAUUUCACACCCCACUAAUGGAUGGUGAGACACAGUUUGAAAAACUGUAUUCUUUCAGGACACUGAAUGGUCAGAACCCAAUGUGCUUUUAUUUAUUCAUUCAACAAAUAUUUGUGGCCAUGUAUAAUGUAUCAGGUGCUGUAUUUACUGUACUCCAUGCCAGGAAAGCAACAGAGAAGAAAACAUACCCAGUCCAGUCCCUGACCUCAUGUCAUUUACAAUCUUGGCUAAUCGAGUUCACAAAUAAAUAAUUCCAAAUCAUGAUGGGAGUGAAGCCAUAGAGGAUAAGAGCGCUCGGGGUAGGGUGAUCAGAGGUCUCUGAGGCAAUGAUCUGGAAGCUGCCACCUACAAGAUGAGGAGUUAGCAAGCUAGAGACAGCAGGAAUGAGCUCUCCGACGGAGGGCAUGAACAGCAAGUGCAAAGGCCCUUGGACUCGAAAGAGCAUGAAAGACUGAGGAAGCGGCCAGUGUGGCUCCAACACAGUGGAGGAGUUGGGGAAUCCUACUGAGAUAGAGGCCCUGCGCUGAAAUAAUUCUCAUCCUUCAAGGCCCAACUUCAGCCAAUGGCACUGACCUCCUGGACCUGCCAGGCAGAAGUGGUGGCUCCCUCUCAGCUGACCCCAGAGAACUUCUUUAGCUCCUGCUGAUCUCAGAGCACACACACUAAUCCACUCUGCCCACUCAGCAGUUUUUCUUGAUAGCCCUGGCAUGGCACCUAUGCUGGGGUCAGACCCUCAACCAGCCCUUCAGUGUUGAAAUGCACAACCUCAGCCCUCUAGCCUCAGCGGAGGAAGCAGGGCUCUUCAGUUUGGGAGAACCAUAUACAACCAGAAGGAGGGGCCAAAAUACCUGAAGCCCCCAGGAGCUGGCUCCUCCACAGCUCUCAGGAAUGACAGUAAACACAAACGGCCCUGCAUGUAUUCAGGCUAUGGCCGCCUUCCUCCUGGGCUGCACAUCAGGCUAACCAGCCCAGCCCUCAGCUUCACAGGGACUGGACCCUAGUCAAGGAAGCUGGUGACCCUGGAUCAGUUGCCUCCCCUGUCUGUGCCUAAAUCCCCCACCCCACUUCUGUCAAUUAGGAGGAUGAUGCCUUCUUCAGAGUGUUGUCAUAAAGAUUAAAUCCUUAUUAAAGUCU
RNAcentral lists this non-coding RNA (1151 nucleotides) under Pongo abelii (Sumatran orangutan). The record is from RNAcentral. Lineage: Eukaryota; Metazoa; Chordata; Mammalia; Primates; Hominidae.